Long non-coding RNA from Arachis duranensis, 2412 nucleotides. RefSeq lists it as uncharacterized. The record is from RefSeq and is a predicted model, not a curated record. The transcript is spliced from 3 exons. NCBI's taxonomy places the organism in Eukaryota, Viridiplantae, Streptophyta, Magnoliopsida, Fabales, Fabaceae.
AGACACAGAGAGAAGAAGAGAAGGGUACGAAACCCUUGUUUCAAUUUCCGAUCGCCGUAACUUCUCCGUUCGAGCUCCAAUCGCCGCAUCGUUCGUGGCCAGAUGUCCAACGCAUCAAGCUCUACAUUUCUGUCGGAUCAAUUUCAUUGGUUCGAUUUAGCUUGUGGAGCUUAUUGGGUUUGAGUUGCUACGCGUAUGAGUGUGGUGUGAAUUAAGUUUAUAUACAUGCAUUGGAAUUGAGAAGUGAGCAUUUGGAGGCUUCGUGGUGAUUGAAGCUAAGCUUGUCUCUGGUUACUCUAAACUUGAGCGGCUGUGUUGUAGCUUGUGAGGCUGCUUUGGAUUAAAUAAAGUGAUCGGUCAAGGUAUGGUUUAGGUUUUGCGCGUUUAACAUAUAAUGUUUUGUAAAAACUUAGGCUAGAGAACCAUAGGAUAAAUUGAAAAGGGUUUUAUGCAUUAAAUGGUUAGUUUUGUGAUGUUGAUGGUAAAUUGAUGAUUAGGCUUGUGUAGAAAUUAAUGGUCAUGAGAUGAAUGGAAUUAAUCAGAAUGUGUUAUUGGAAUUAAUAAUGGUGAAUUGACGAUGUUGUUGGUAUAUGUCAAUGAGAUUUUGUGGUUAUGACUUGUUGAUUGGUUAAUGAUGAUUUAUGGGUUGUUAUUAAUGAAUUUGAAGAAGUAAAUUAAUGAAAUUUUAAAGUUGUAGCUUGUAGUUGGAAUGGAGAAUGUUAGAAUUAAUGUGUGAAUUUUAUGGAAUGGUGUGUAUUAAUGUGCUAGUGGUUGGUGUUAGUGAAAAGGAACUUGAUAUGUGGAAAAUUUGCAGGUUUUGUGGGUAAGGAAUGAGAAUUUGGUAAAAAUUGGGAUUCGGAAUAUUUUGGUAAAAAGUGAAUUUUUGUGAGCUUUGGUAGUCCAUAAUUUUCUCUACAAUUUUUUGAUAAGGAUGACGUUUGUUUCAAAUUAAAGAAGGUUUUAAAAGCUUGAGAUUGAUAUAAAGUUUGCGGAAAACCGAAUUUUGUAGAGAAAGUUAUGGACGCCGAAAAUUCGGUGCGUAAAACUGAAUUUUAAAAUGUUGCAGCAGAACCAGAUUUUCUGACGUGUGUCCACGCACACAGCUAUGCGCACGCACCCAACAGAAGCAAAAAAUUUAUCUGUGCGUACGCACGGCUUUGUGCGCACGCACACCUGGUGUUUUUCAUAAAGUGUGCGUACGCACGCCCUUGUGCACACGCACACACCAGGAUAGGCCUUCUGUUGGUGGCGCUAGCACGGGUGAGGCGCAUGCACACCGAGUGAUGUGUGCGUACGCACGCAUUUGUGCGCAUGCACACGUUCUACUUUCCUUCUGAGUUGUGUGCACGCACACCUGUGUGCAUACGCACACACUCUAUUUUUCGCACCUCUAUUUUUCUGUUCCAAAUAUGAUUUCUAACUUCCAAACCCUUAUUUUUGCCUUGUUAACCCUAGAUUUUACUAGUAAGCUAAGUAAUUAACGGAAGGUAGGAAUUUGAGGUAACUUGGGAAUGAAGUAAGAGGUAAAAUGAUGAGUUAUAUGAAGGAGACGAGAAUGUUAAAUGAAGUAUAAUGUCAUGGCUUUGAUGAAUGAUUAAAUAAUGAUUAUAAAUAUGAAAUGGCUUAUGAGUGAUAUGUGAGAUACGAGUUCCAGGUUGAAUCUCUAUAAUUUAUUGACCCUACGUCGUAAGGGUGACCGGGCACAUAUAAAUUUCCGGUUAUGGAUAGCCCCCAUUGAGUGAUUUAUGAAUAAAUGUUUGAAUGAUGAAUGAAUAUGAAAUCUAUGCAUAGACUUAUGGGGAUGCGCGACAGGGGACAGUCUAAGGUUUUCGGACUUGUCGGGUUGGCUGGAUAAUCGACAGAUGAGCCUCAUCAGUCAUAGGACAGGCAUACAUCAUAUACAUUUGUUUGUUUUGUUUUCUAUGCAUUAUUUGGGAUUGCCUAACUGAAUAUAUAUAUCCUACUACCUGAUAUACUUGCUACUUGUACUAUUUGUUUCUUACUUGUGCGUGAACUUGUUUCGCUGCUUGUCUCUGCUGAAUAAUUAUGGAUGACGCAAGAAGGGAGGAAGGGUGAACUGGUCAGGCGUUAGAUGUUAGAUUUUAAAGCAAAUAAGUAUAGGGUACUUAGAUUACCUACCCCUUUUUAUGGCUUCUACUUAGAGUUUAAGUUUUAUAACUGUAUGUUGGAGUUCUAGAAUUGCCUCUGGCAUUCCCAGGACCUUAUUAUUAUUAUACGCGUGGCACCUUUACCAUGCUGAGAACCUCCGGUUCUCACCCCAUACUGUGUUGUUGUUUUCAGAUGCAGGUCGAGAGGCUCCUCGCUAGGCGUCUAAAUUUCUAAAGCGGAGUAGUUCCUAGGAUAUUUUGGUUUAUUAGCUUAUGUAUAUUUGUACUUAAUUACUUAGCUUUC